AGCGAACGCUGGCGGCGUGCCUAACACAUGCAAGUCGAGCGAAGGCAUGAGUGUAGCAAUACACUUAUGUACUUAGCGGCGGACGGGUGAGUAACACGUGGAUAAUCUGCCCUGGGGACCGGGACAACUCUUGGAAACGGGAGCUAAUACCGGAUGUGACCACGAUGCUUGAGGGCAUUGGGGUAAAAGGGCGGGCCUGCAAGGGCUGUUGCUUCGGGAUGAGUUCACGACCCAUCAGGUA
This 241-nucleotide ribosomal RNA is filed under the name uncultured bacterium. Its description in RNAcentral is "partial 16S ribosomal RNA". It matches the Rfam family "Bacterial small subunit ribosomal RNA", at positions 29 to 247 of the family's 1533-position model. The record is from RNAcentral.